This 253-nucleotide ribosomal RNA is filed under the name uncultured bacterium. RNAcentral describes it as "partial 16S ribosomal RNA". It matches the Rfam family "Bacterial small subunit ribosomal RNA", at positions 524 to 776 of the family's 1533-position model. The record is from RNAcentral.
UACGUAGGGUGCAAGCGUUGUCCGGAUUUAUUGGGCGUAAAGAGCUCGUAGGCGGUCUGUCGCGUCGGAUGUGAAAACCCAGGGCUCAACCCUGGGCCUGCAUUCGAUACGGGCAGACUAGAGUGUGGCAGGGGAGACUGGAAUUCCCGGUGUAGCGGUGAAAUGCGCAGAUAUCGGGAGGAACACCGGUGGCGAAGGCGGUUCUCUGGGCCUGUUCUGACGCUGAGGAGCGAAAGCGUGGGGAGCGAACAGG